GUGGGGAAUUUUGGACAAUGGGCGCAAGCCUGAUCCAGCAAUGCCGCUUGCAGGAAGAAGGCCUUCGGGUUGUAAACUGCUUUUGUACGGAACGAAAAGGCUCUGGUUAAUACCUGGGGCUCAUGACGGUACCGUAAGAAUAAGCACCGGCUAACUACGUGCCAGCAGCCGCGGUAAUACGUAGGGUGCAAGCGUUAAUCGGAAUUACUUGGCGUAAAGCGUGCGCAGGCGGUUUUGUAAGACAGACGUGAAAUCCCCGGGCUCAACCUGGGAAUGGCGUUUGUGACUGCAAAGCUGGAGUGCGGCAGAGGGGGAUGGAAUUCCGCGUGUAGCAGUGAAAUGCGUAGAUAUGCGGAGGAACACCGAUGGCGAAGGCAAUCCCCUGGGCCUGCACUGACGCUCAUGCACGAAAGCGUGGGGAGCAAACAGGAUUAGAAACCCCAGUAGUCC
This 450-nucleotide ribosomal RNA is filed under the name uncultured bacterium. RNAcentral describes it as "partial 16S ribosomal RNA". It matches the Rfam family "Bacterial small subunit ribosomal RNA", at positions 354 to 796 of the family's 1533-position model. The record is from RNAcentral.